RNAcentral lists this ribosomal RNA (400 nucleotides) under phytoplankton environmental sample. Its description in RNAcentral is "partial small subunit ribosomal RNA". It matches the Rfam family "Eukaryotic small subunit ribosomal RNA", at positions 587 to 991 of the family's 1831-position model. The record is from RNAcentral.
AGCUCCAAUAGCGUAUAUUAAAGUUGUUGCAUAUAAAAAGCUCGUAGUUGGAUUUCUGUUGAGCUCGUCCGAUCCGCCCUCUGGGUGAGUAUAUGGAACGGGCUGUACUUUUUCUUGGGGAACGUAUCUGCACUUGACUGUGUGGUGCGGUAUCCAGGGCUUUUACUUUGAGGAAAUUAGAGUGUGUCAAGCAGGCAUGCGCCUUGAAUACAUUAGCAUGGAAUAAAAAUAUAUGACCUCGGUUCUAUUUUGUUGGUUUCUAAAGCUGAGGUAAUGAUUAAUAGGGAUAGUUGGGGGCAUUCGUAUUUAACUGUCAGAGGUGAAAUUCUUGGAUUUGUUAAAGACUGAUUACUGCGAAAGCAUUUGCCAAGGAUGUUUUCAUUGAUCAAGAACGAAAGUA